UUCAUGCUAUAUUCUCUCAUUGAAGUUAAAAGGGAUAAUCGUCCUUUAAUCUUUGUUCUUCCAUAUCAGCAAUAAUGUGAAAUUUUGGCCGUUAUCUUUUGGUUCAUCUAAGCAUUAAAUGAGAAUGCUUGAGCAAGUCAUUAAUAGGCUAAACUUGACCAAUGUAUGAUGCGUCUAGAAGCCCAAUUUCAUUCGGCCCAAUAAAAAAUAAAUAAUAAUUUAAAAGCCCAUUAAAUAGUCCAUAUUACAAGCCCAAAUACAAAAAAAAAACUAAAAGCCCAAAAAACCCUUAAAUCCCAAAGCCCAUUAUCCAAAUCUAAACAGAAAAAAACCCUAAUCCCCUAAGACUUCACUAGCCACCGCCGCCGCUCCUCAGCUUUGCCAUGUCAACGGGCAUGCCUCCCGAAGUCCCCACACCCCGAUGUCUGCCUCCUUUGCCACCAUUUCAUCAAAACUCAACCCCUUGCCAUGAAAAACUUGCAAAAAAGAAAAAAAAAAA
RNAcentral lists this long non-coding RNA (499 nucleotides) under Gossypium raimondii (Peruvian cotton). RNAcentral describes it as "long non-coding RNA (GRAI_LNC001846)". The record is from RNAcentral. Lineage: Eukaryota; Viridiplantae; Streptophyta; Magnoliopsida; Malvales; Malvaceae.